GGGUCAGUAGGUUGGUCGUGCCACCGGUACGUACUGGUCUCACUGAUUCCUCCUUCCUGAAGAACCGUAAUGCCAUUAAUUUGGCGUUGCGGGGAAACAGGACUGUUACUUUGAAAAAAUUAGAGUGUUUAACGCAAGCUAACGCUUGAAUACAUUAGCAUGGAAUAAUGAAAUAGGACGAUCGAUCCUAUUUUGUUGGUUUCUAGGAUUGACGUA
RNAcentral lists this ribosomal RNA (216 nucleotides) under Glomeromycotina sp. RNAcentral describes it as "partial small subunit ribosomal RNA". The stretch from base 44 to 216 matches the Rfam family "Eukaryotic small subunit ribosomal RNA", at positions 690 to 864 of the family's 1831-position model. Lineage: Eukaryota; Fungi; Glomeromycota. The record is from RNAcentral.